UACGUAGGGUGCAAGCGUUGUCCGGAAUUAUUGGGCGUAAAGAGCUCGUAGGCGGUCUGUCGCGUCGGGUGUGAAAAUCAGGGCUUAACCCUGGACCUGCAUUCGAUACGGGCAGACUAGAGGUAUUCAGGGGAGAACGGAAUUCCUGGUGUAGCGGUGAAAAUGCGCAGAUAUCAGGAGGAACACCGGUGGCGAAGGCGGUUCUCUGGGAAUGACCUGACGCUGAGGAGCGAAAAGUGUGGGGGAGCGAACAGG
This 255-nucleotide ribosomal RNA is filed under the name uncultured bacterium. RNAcentral describes it as "partial 16S ribosomal RNA". It matches the Rfam family "Bacterial small subunit ribosomal RNA", at positions 524 to 776 of the family's 1533-position model. The record is from RNAcentral.